RNAcentral lists this transfer RNA (90 nucleotides) under Staphylococcus aureus. RNAcentral describes it as "tRNA-Ser(gga)". It matches the Rfam family "tRNA". Rfam says of the family: Transfer RNA (tRNA) molecules are approximately 80 nucleotides in length. Their secondary structure includes four short double-helical elements and three loops (D, anti-codon, and T loops). The record is from RNAcentral. Lineage: Bacteria; Bacillati; Bacillota; Bacilli; Caryophanales; Staphylococcaceae.
GGAGAGUUGUCCGAGUUGGCCGAAGGAGCCACGCCUGGAAAGUGUGUAGGCGCCACAAGCGUCUCGAGGGUUCGAAUCCCUCACUCUCCG